GGUUCCAUAAAGUAGUGGUUAACACGUCUGCUUUACAUGCAGAAGGUCCUGGGUUUGAGCCCCAGCAGAGCCA
Non-coding RNA from Pteropus alecto (black flying fox), 73 nucleotides. Lineage: Eukaryota; Metazoa; Chordata; Mammalia; Chiroptera; Pteropodidae. The record is from Rfam.